This 465-nucleotide ribosomal RNA is filed under the name uncultured bacterium. RNAcentral's name for it is "partial 16S ribosomal RNA". It matches the Rfam family "Bacterial small subunit ribosomal RNA", at positions 28 to 507 of the family's 1533-position model. The record is from RNAcentral.
GACGAACGCUGGCGGCGUGCUUAACACAUGCAAGUCGUACGGUAAGGCCCUUUCGGGGGUACACGAGUGGCGAACGGGUGCGUAACACGUGAGUAACCUGCCCACAACUUUGGGAUAACGCUAGGUUACUGGUGCUAAUACUGGAUAUGUGCUCCUGCUGCAUGGUGGGGGUUGGAAAGCUCCGGCGGUUGUGGAUGUAAUCGCGGCCUAUCAGCUUGUUGGUGGGGUAGUGGCCUACCAAGGCGGCGACGGGUAGCCGGCCUGAGAGGGUGACCGGCCACAUAGGGACUGAGAUACGGCCCAGACACCUAAGGGAGGCAACAGGGGGGAAUAUUGCAGAAGCGGCGCAAGCCUGAUGCAGCAGCGCCGCGGGCGGGAUGACGGCCUUCGGGUUGUAAACCGCUUUCAGCAGGGACGAAGCUUUUUGUGACGGUACCUGCAGAAGAAGCACCGGCUAACUACGUG